Molecule: ribosomal RNA, 121 nt
Filed under: Anolis carolinensis (green anole)
Lineage: Eukaryota; Metazoa; Chordata; Lepidosauria; Squamata; Anolidae
Source: RNAcentral
GUUUGCUCCCAAAUAAUGCCUUAAAGGCACCAGAUCCUGUCUGAUUUCAGGAGAUAAGUGGGGUCAGAUCUGGUUAGUACUUGGAUGAGAGACCACCAAUGUAUACCAGAUGCUGUAGGUU